UGCAGCAACGCCGCGUGAGGGAUGACGGCCUUCGGGUUGUAAACCUCUUUUAGUAGGGAAGAAGGGAGCUUCGGUUCUUGACGGUACCUGCAGAAAAAGCACCGGCUAACUACGUGCCAGCAGCCGCGGUAAUACGUAGGGUGCAAGCGUUGUCCGGAAUUAUUGGGCGUAAAGAGCUCGUAGGCGGUUUGUCGCGUCUGCUGUGAAAUCCCGAGGCUCAACCUCGGGCUUGCAGUGGGUACGGGCAGACUAGAGUGCGGUAGGGGAGAUUGGAAUUCCUGGUGUAGCGGUGGAAUGCGCAGAUAUCAGGAGGAACACCGAUGGCGAAGGCAGAUCUCUGGGCCGUAACUGACGCUGAGGAGCGAAAGCAUGGGGAGCGAACAGGAUUAGAUACCCUGGUAGUCCAUGCCGUAAACGUUGGGCGCUAGAUGUAGGGACCUUUCCACGGUUUCUGUGUCGUAGCUAACGCAUUAAGCGCCCCGCCUGGGGAGUACGGCCGCAAGGCUAAAACUCAAAGGAAUUGACGGGGGCCCGCACAAGCGGCGGAGCAUGCGGAUUAAUUCGAUGCAACGCGAAGAACCUUACCAAGGCUUGACAUACACCGGAAACGGCCAGAGAUGGUCGCCC
RNAcentral lists this ribosomal RNA (627 nucleotides) under Curtobacterium sp. Ri2Pt_4068. Its description in RNAcentral is "bacterial SSU rRNA". It matches the Rfam family "Bacterial small subunit ribosomal RNA", at positions 387 to 1015 of the family's 1533-position model. The record is from RNAcentral. Lineage: Bacteria; Bacillati; Actinomycetota; Actinomycetes; Micrococcales; Microbacteriaceae.